GUAGGUGGCAAGCGUUGUCCGGAAUUAUUGGGCGUAAAGCGCGCGCAGGCGGUUCUUUAAGUCUGAUGUGAAAGCCCACGGCUCAACCGUGGAGGGUCAUUGGAAACUGGAGAACUUGAGUACAGAAGAGGAAAGCGGAAUUCCACGCGUAGCGGUGAAAUGCGUAGAGAUGUGGAGGAACACCAGUGGCGAAGGCGGCUUUCUGGUCUGUAACUGACGCUGAGGCGCGAAAGCGUGGGGAGCAAACAGGGAUUAGAUACCCUGGUAGUCCACGCCGUAAACGAUGAGUGCUAAGUGUUAGGGGGGUUUCCGCCCCCCUUAGUGCUGCAGCUAACGCAUUAAGCACUCCGCCUGGGGAUACGGCCGCAAGGCUG
RNAcentral lists this ribosomal RNA (374 nucleotides) under uncultured organism. Its description in RNAcentral is "partial 16S ribosomal RNA". It matches the Rfam family "Bacterial small subunit ribosomal RNA", at positions 527 to 896 of the family's 1533-position model. The record is from RNAcentral.